AUACGUAGGCACCAAGCGUUGUUCGGAAUUACUGGGCGUAAAGCGAGUGUAGGCGGUUUGCCAAGUCCGUUGUGAAAUCUCCUGGCUCAACUGGGAGGGUGCGGCGGAAACUGGCAGGCUAGAGUGCGGAAGAGGAGAGUGGAAUUCCUGGUGUAGCGGUGAAAUGCGUAGAUAUCAGGAGGAACACCGGCGGUGAAGACGGCUCUCUGGACCGCUACUGACGCUGAGACUCGAAAGCGUGGGGAGCAAACAGGAUUAGAAACCCCAGUAGUCC
RNAcentral lists this ribosomal RNA (274 nucleotides) under uncultured bacterium. Its description in RNAcentral is "partial 16S ribosomal RNA". It matches the Rfam family "Bacterial small subunit ribosomal RNA", at positions 523 to 796 of the family's 1533-position model. The record is from RNAcentral.